UACAAAACCAGAGACGAGCACGAUUGCUCUCGCUAUUAAAGUGCUUCUUGAUAAAAACUCGAGCUUUUAGUAAGAUCGUGCCAACUUUUACAUACACAUUUGAAUCGCAACAGUGAUUUCACAGAUACAAGUAAUUCGGAGGCGGAUUCCAAAGGAAAAGCGGUGUUUGAGGCUUGAGUUAGCCGUGAAAGUUUGAGACCCCAGUGGUGUAGACUUCGGACCGCGGUGGGAUU
This is a long non-coding RNA of Nicotiana attenuata, 233 nucleotides long. RefSeq lists it as uncharacterized. The transcript is spliced from 3 exons. The record is from RefSeq and is a predicted model, not a curated record. NCBI's taxonomy places the organism in Eukaryota, Viridiplantae, Streptophyta, Magnoliopsida, Solanales, Solanaceae.